UACGUAGGGACCGAGCGUUGUCCGGAAUCAUUGGGCGUAAAGAGCGUGUAGGCGGCCACUUAAGUCCUGCGUGAAUCUUGCGGCUACAACCGCAAGCGGUCGUGGGAAACUGGGUGGCUAGAGUGCGGGAGAGGAGAGUGGAAUCCUGGUGUAGCGGUGGAAUGCGCAGAUAGUCAGGAAGAACACCCGUGGCGAAGGCGGCUCUCUGGAACGGCAACUGACGCUGAGACGCGAAAGCGUGGGGAGCAAACAGGAUUAGAUACCCCGA
This 268-nucleotide ribosomal RNA is filed under the name uncultured bacterium. Its description in RNAcentral is "partial 16S ribosomal RNA". It matches the Rfam family "Bacterial small subunit ribosomal RNA", at positions 524 to 790 of the family's 1533-position model. The record is from RNAcentral.